UAAGAAGUAGCCUGCUCAUGAAUAUGCAAAAUACUUGAGUCUGUGGUGGUAAAUACAAGGAAGUCCACACCCCAGAACAACAUAUGAUCAGUGUCCUGUCCACAGUCACUGAGCACACAGGUCCUCACCAUGGGAUGGAGCUGGAUCAUUCUCUUCGCUUCCUUUCUCUCCACAGGUGUCCACUGCCAGGUCCAGCUGCAGCAGUCUGGGGCUGAUCUGGGGAAACCUGGGUCCACAGUGAAGUUGUCCUGCAAGGCUUCAGGCUACACCUGCACUGACUAUGCUAUGCACUGGGUGAGGCAGAGGCCUGGACAGGGCCUGGAGUGGAUUGGAUACAUUGUUCCUGGAAGUAGUAGUACUGGCUACAAUCAGAAAUUCCAGGGCAAGGCCAAACUGACUGCAGACACAUCCUCCAGCACAGCCUACAUGGAGCUCAGGAGCCUGACAUCUGAGGACUCUGCAGUCUAUUACUGUGCAAGAGACAGUGUUGCAACCACAUCCUGAGUGUGUAAUAAACCCUGGAGGAGCAGGAAGCUAA
Non-coding RNA from Peromyscus leucopus (white-footed mouse), 538 nucleotides. NCBI's taxonomy places the organism in Eukaryota, Metazoa, Chordata, Mammalia, Rodentia, Cricetidae. The record is from the annotation of a RefSeq genome assembly.